UAUGUACGACUGACUAAUGCAAGCGAUGU
RNAcentral lists this small RNA (29 nucleotides) under Bombyx mori (domestic silkworm). RNAcentral's name for it is "ovarian small RNA-23993". The record is from RNAcentral. Lineage: Eukaryota; Metazoa; Arthropoda; Insecta; Lepidoptera; Bombycidae.